Lonchura striata (white-rumped munia) is the source of this 687-nucleotide non-coding RNA. The record is from RefSeq and is a predicted model, not a curated record. Lineage: Eukaryota; Metazoa; Chordata; Aves; Passeriformes; Estrildidae.
AAUAUUACUAAUGAAUUUAAGUCACUAAAUUUUUUACAACUUUAGAUAUUUAUAAGAAUGGUUAUAUGCAAACAGAAAUGACUGAGCUAAUGAUUAUCCUUAAAAUGUUAUUUUUGAGGGACAUUGCAUGUAGUCUUUCUUAUCCCUGAACGGGGGUUUAGCUUUCCUUGAAAAUAACAGAUGCAUUGAGGAAGAAUUAAAAAAACCUUCAGAGUUAGUUAGUUGUUAAUAAUUCUCCAGUAGAUGGAGGUAGAGAAUAGCGUAUUUUCGAAGAUGUAUGAAAAUAAUUUUUUUCUCAAUGAUAGUGUGUACAUUUUCUGUCAAUCUUCCUAGGGUGUUAUUCAUAACUGUUAAUAAGUUGCUGUUUGAGAAGACGCUCAAGAGAGCACAGGCAACAGCACCCAGAUAAGAAUUCAAACCAUCUCCUCAUAUGAAAGCACUGCCAACACUUUGGAGGAGACGCUGUGCUAUGUUGACCCUGGCUGGACACCAGAUUCCCACCAAAGCCAUUCUAGCACACACCUCUUCAGCUAGACCAGAUAUUGCAGCAUGCAGAAUAUGAAAAUGAAUCUACCCAGAUGAGAAAUGAAACAGGUGAAAGGAAAUUUUCAGAAUCUUCCAUCUUUAUGCCUGUUGGAUGCUGUUGAAGAAUGGGAUAGAUGUAUCAAUAAAUAUUAACACAAGAUA